GACGAACGCUGGCGGCGUGCUUAACACAUGCCAGUCGAACGGAAAGGCCUUUUCGGAGGUACUCGAGUGGCGAACGGGUGCGUAACACGUGGGUGAUCUGCCCUGCACUCUGGGAUAAGCCUGGGAACCUGGGUCUAAUACCGGUUAGGACUGCACUUUAGUGCGUGUGGUGGCAAGAUUUUUCGGUGUAUGUUGAGUCCGCGAGCUAUCAGCUUGUUGGUGGGGUAAUGGCCUACCAAGGCGGCGACGGGUAGCCGGACUGAGAGGUUGAGCGGCCACAUUGGGACUGAGAUACGGCCCAGACUCCGACGGGAGGCAGCAGUGGGGAAUAUUGCACAAUGGGCGCAAGCCUGAUGCAGCGACGCCGCGUGGGGGAUGACGGCCUUCGGGUUGUAAACUCCUUUCGCCAGGGACGAAGCGUUUUGUGACGGUACCUGGAGAAGAAGCACCGGCUAACUACGUG
This 463-nucleotide ribosomal RNA is filed under the name uncultured bacterium. RNAcentral describes it as "partial 16S ribosomal RNA". It matches the Rfam family "Bacterial small subunit ribosomal RNA", at positions 28 to 507 of the family's 1533-position model. The record is from RNAcentral.